This 460-nucleotide ribosomal RNA is filed under the name uncultured bacterium. Its description in RNAcentral is "partial 16S ribosomal RNA". It matches the Rfam family "Bacterial small subunit ribosomal RNA", at positions 338 to 795 of the family's 1533-position model. The record is from RNAcentral.
CCUACGGGAGGCAGCAGUGAGGAAUAUUGGUCAAUGGCCGGAAGUCUGAACCAGCCAUGCCGCGUGAAGGUCAGUGCCCUAUGGGCGUUAAACUUCUUUUGUGCGGGAGCAAUAAUGGUCACGUGUGGCCAGACGAGAGUACCGUACGAAUAAGCAUCGGCUAACUCCGUGCCAGCAGCCGCGGUAAUACGGGGGAUGCAAGCGUUAUCCGGAUUUAUUGGGUUUAAAGGGUGCGUAGGCUGUGAGGUAAGUCAGCGGUGAAAUGCCCCCGCGUAACGGGGUGAAGUGCCAUUGAUACUGCCAUGCUGGAAUGCGGAUGCUGUGGGAGGAAUGUGUGGUGUAGCGGUGAAAUGCAUAGAUAUCACACAGAACACCGAUUGCGAAGGCAUCUCACGAAUCCGCGAUUGACGCUGAUGCACGAAAGCGUGGGUAUCAAACAGGAUUAGAUACCCCGGUAGUC